Molecule: ribosomal RNA, 393 nt
Filed under: uncultured bacterium
Lineage: Bacteria
Description: partial 16S ribosomal RNA
Rfam family: Bacterial small subunit ribosomal RNA
Source: RNAcentral
AUACGGAAGGUCCGGGCGUUAUCCGGAUUUAUUGGGUUUAAAGGGAGCGCAGGCGGAGAUGCAAGCGUGACGUCAAAUUUCGGGGCUCAACCCCGUCUCGCGUCGCGAACUGCGUCCCUUGGCUGCGGGAAGGGGAGGCGGAACUCGUGGUGUAGCGGUGAAAUGCAUAGAUAUCACGAAGAACUCCGAUCGCGAAGGCAGCCUUCCGGCCCGUCAACGACGCUCAUGCUCGAAGGUGCGGGUAUCAAACAGGAUUAGAUGCCCUGGUAGUCCGCACAGUAAACGAUGGACACCCGCGGUUUGGCCUAUAUGGCUGAGCCGCCAAGCGAAAGCGUUAAGUGUCCCACCUGGGGAGUACGCCGGCAACGGUGAAACUCAAAGGAAUUGACGGGG